CCUAAACAUAGAUCCUUUUUUAUCAAGCGCUGUACUUAUACUGAUAUUUGAACAUGUACAUAUCCAGAUCAGUGACCAUUGAUUAGUGUCUUGGUCUUUGCCUUAACUAUUUCCUUGAUUAUGAUUUCACUUUUUUAACUUUAGUUAGUGUGUAAUGUUGCUGUUUGAGCAUAAACAACAUCUGCAAAGUUACGACGCUCAAAGUUCAAUGCAAAGGGAGAUAUUUUCUUAGCUUUUUAAGGACUACAACAAACGGCUAGUAGAGACUACAAUGAGCUUCUUCCCGGGUUUGGAACAAAACAAACCCCAAAACUGAGGCCAUGUUGGGCUGCUUUAGAGAAGAGGAAGAGUUGUUGUAGUAGAGUGUUGUUGUCAUGCCGUCAUUUUACGCCGGACUGCUUCACAAACGAGGGUCAAUUCAACGCUGGAUUUGCACAAAGGAUUAACAUGACGGCACAUGCUAGUGGAUGAGUUGAAUCAACUCCACAGCAAGUGCAUAAAUUUAUCCACUAACCAUUCAGAAACGUCUAAAAGUUGUAACUUCUUCCUGAGUCUCUCCAUCAGUGUCGACUCCGGUUUGAACAAUGUAAGGCUGAACACCGUUACUGACAAUUAGGCUGGGUAUUGACACAAUUUUCACAAUUCGAUUCUAUUUCUAUUCACAUGCUUGUGAUUCAAUUACGAUUUUGAUUUGAUAUUAAUUAUUUUGGAUGUAGUAUAUCAGUUACAGUACAUGGCAAAUUUUCUAGAGGAAAAAAAUCUCUCAACUAAUGCUGUAAACUACACAUGGGAGUCAGUUGGUACUACUUUACUAUAAUAUUGAAGGUUAAAAUUAACUUAUUUAUAUACAAAGACUUAAAUUACACUCAAUUAUGUUUUUUUUUAUAAUAAAUAAAGUUUAGAAUUAUAUAAUCAAAUUUCUACUCCAAUUCGUUUUUUUUUUUUUUUUUUUUAAAUAUAAACAUUUAAAUCGUGGCUGUCAUAGCUGAUUUAUUCAAACAUGCAUUACAUAUUGAAGAACAUUAUAUUGAAUAUGUAACGGUGCAUAUCUAUAUUCAUCAGAAAGCUGGUUUCUAGAUGUUUAUUCAUGUUUAUUUCGUGCUGUAAUUGGUAUUAAAGCGGAGAGGAUGUUCACAUGCACUCCGUGCUGCCGCAUCUCUUUAACUGAGGCGCUAAAGCGAUCUGUCACGCCACAUUAAACAGCGCCAAAACGGUACUUAUUUUUUGAAUCUCAUAAUAAGAUGGACGUCAUUUGAAAUCUGAGACUUUGCUUCAUAUCAAAAGUAACAAAGCACAAAGAUUAUUGCGAUUUAUUGGAUGGGAGGUGCGCUACAUGUUCUGUUCAUUCAUCAACUGAAAACAGACUAGACUAAUCGAUUCUUGGGAUUUAAGAAUCGAUAUCAGUUUGUAAAAAUGAGAAUCGAUAUUAAUAUUAGAGACGUUACAGGGCUCGACAAUAAGGACUGCCCGAUGGCUCGGGGCCAGUGUGAACGAUGCUCGGGACAGUUGACGGAACCGUCACUUGCCCGAUCGGGCCAGUGCUGUAGGGGUGUGCAUUAGAUAUUGUCUAUGAUAUCGUAAUUGUUGAUUUAACAAUCUGGCAUAAUCGUGUAUGUCUACCACUUAACAAUAACCAAACAAAAACACACCCAUUGAGUGCACGCAUACGUGACGUAGUCUAGUAGGUUAGACUAGUGCACGUGCUUAUUUAGAGUGUACGAUUUCACUGCGUGAUUUAGUCUAUUAAAAUGCAUUUAGAAUGCCCCCAGAAUUCAAGAUAAUGGGUAAAAAUGCAGGGGUAUGUCUUUUAUAUGUAUAUAAUUUAAUAUAGUUAACCAAUGUUACACAAAGAGGACCAUUUUUCUCCAAAUAUCAGCAUGAUUACAAAUGUGAUAUUGAUUUUAUACAACGUACAGUUUAAUAAACAGGCAGUUUAUAUUCAUUGACUUACAUUUUAGACACCAAAUCGCCUGUUUCGCUCUAUUUCGCCAAAGAAUAUAGUUCCAAACACAAAAUUGUUUUGUGUCUCUGAGCAACACUUCCUGAAUGAAUCAGCCGUUUGAAUGAAUCGGUUAAAUCUCAAUGACUCGCUCAUUAACAGGGACUUGCUGCCACCUCCUGGCGGGUUUAAUUUCACAUUUAAUUUAUCACUUUUCAUUUUAUAAAUAAUUUCAAAUAACAGUAUUUUGUUUUAUAUUUUCAACAUUUCAAAACAUUAUUUAUGCAUCUGUAACUACUCGUGACUGAUUAACUUUAAUAAAGUUUAAUCAAUAGUUAUAUAGUUAUACAUUAGAUUAUAAUUUCUGUACCCAAAAAUCACCUGUUUAUGACUACAUAAGAAACCUGAAAAGCACAGUUUAUUUCAUUCAUUUAUUCUGUUGUAUUUAUCUGUGCUAUUACUUGUAAUUAGAUUAUUUGUUCCUAUUUUAUUACUUACUGUUUACUUGUCUAAACAAUAUUUAAAAUGUAAGUGAGUUAAUCUAGUAGCUUCUGGUGUCGUAACCUUAUUUAUUAAGGUUACAUGUAUCAAAAACAAUAAACAAUAACUAGGCUUAUUUUAUAGGCCCAUUUUCUUUUCUUUUACUUUAUUAAUUUUUUUAUUGUGGGGCCAGUGAAAAUUUUGGCAGGGCAAGUAAAAAUUUGAGCAACUGGCCCGACCGGGCCAGCAGAAAAAAUCCUUAGUGUUGAGCCCUGCGUUAGAGAACAGGAAGGCCUGAAAGCGUAUGCAGAGGUUGAGUUGUUCUGCUCCAUACGUGAGUAACAUUGGUUUUGCUGUUGUUGUUGUUGUACAGUUUUGAGUGUCAUUGUUUGUCUGGAGCUGCGGUGCUGCUGGCGACUAACAAUGAACUCUUGCUUGUAUAUACUCUUGUGUACUGUAUGUUAAUUUUUCCUCUUGUUGUUCAUCAUCUUCACAUUAGUUUUCACAAAGCAAGUAUGCAAUUUCAGAUGCAGCCAAUAAGUCUCUUGUGGUUCAGCGCUUUACAGUUAAUGUGGAAGAUGCCUGUGUUUUUUGUAGAGAUGAUCAUUAGUCAUUUAUUUUGACAUAUAUGUCCUAAGAUACAGAGUUUUUUGAAAGAUUUGAAAAAUAACAAAAAGAAAUUAAGAUUAAAGGGGCUAUAUGUAGAAUUUAGAAACCCUUGUUUUUAGCGACACUGGUGGCCAUUAAGUGAACUGCAGCCAGCAACUUAUUGCUUGUGCUCACAGUCAUAACACAGAACAAAAAUGACAGCAGUAAGAAAACAGCAGUUAAGAAAUCAUCUGAUCAUAGCGAUGUGGUUUGCACCAGAUCUGCGAUUCACCAGCAUCAUGUCGACAGAUGAGACGCUGGAAUCCCGGAAAGCCAGAUGACUGGAAACAGCACGGUCUGGGAGAGGAAGGAGAGGACUGUGGGGAGAUUUCAUAUUCUGGGGAACUAAAUGACAGCCACUGCUCCAACGAAGUGGGAUUCAUUUGCAGAGAGUAAUUCUGAAACUGAAAACAGCUGUGGUGUAGUGCCAUCUAAAUGACAAAUGAAAAGGAUCCAGUCACUAUUGUGAAAUCAUUUAACACUAUACAGUGCAUCCGGACAGCGCUUCACUUUUUCCACAUUUUGUUAUGUUACAUCCUUAUUCCAAAAUGGAUUAAAUUCAUUAUUUUCCUCAAAAUUCUACAAACAAUACCCCAUAAUGACAACAAUGUGAAAGAAGUUUGUUUGAAAUCUUUGCAAAUUUAUUAAAAAAAAAAAUUAAAAAACGUCACGUACAUAAAGUGAGCUUUGGAAAAUGUGAUGUCAGUGAUGUUGAGUGAUUUCUAGGUUACUUUACUGAAUGUCUCCUUAAAAUCAACAAAACUCUGAAUGACCAUGGCAUUAUUUUCCAAUAAAAAAGCCUUCAUUGUCUCAUGGCUACAUAUAAAAAGUUUGGCACAGGCCUCCUUUAGAGAGAGUAACACAAUAAACUUGCCAAACAACUUUA
Molecule: long non-coding RNA, 3953 nt
Organism: Ctenopharyngodon idella (grass carp)
Lineage: Eukaryota; Metazoa; Chordata; Actinopteri; Cypriniformes; Xenocyprididae
Exons: 2
Source: RefSeq, a predicted model, not a curated record